AGAUUGAACGCUGGCGGCAUGCCUUACACAUGCAAGUCGAACGGCAGCACGGGAGCAAUCCUGGUGGCGAGUGGCGAACGGGUGAGUAAUAUAUCGGAACGUGCCCAGUCGUGGGGGAUAACGCAGCGAAAGCUGUGCUAAUACCGCAUACGAUCUAUGGAUGAAAGCGGGGGAUCGCAAGACCUCGCGCGAUUGGAGCGGCCGAUAUCAGAUUAGCUAGUUGGUGGGGUAAAAGCCUACCAAGGCGACGAUCUGUAGCUGGUCUGAGAGGACGACCAGCCACACUGGAACUGAGACACGGUCCAGACUCCUACGGGAGGCAGCAGUGGGGAAUUUUGGACAAGUGGGCGCAAGCCUGAUCCAGCAAUGCCGCGUGCAGGAUGGAAGGCCGUUCGGGUUAGUAAACUUGUCGUUUUAGUACGGAACGUAAACGUUCUCUACUAAGUACGAGGGUACUAAGUGUACGGUAACGUAAGAAAGUUAACGACCGAACCGGUACUAAACGUACGUACGACCGAACG
Molecule: ribosomal RNA, 521 nt
Filed under: uncultured soil bacterium
Lineage: Bacteria
Description: bacterial SSU rRNA
Rfam family: Bacterial small subunit ribosomal RNA
Source: RNAcentral